UGGGGAAUAUUGCACAAUGGGGGAAACCCUGAUGCAGCGACGCCGCGUGAGUGAAGAAGUAUUUCGGUAUGUAAAGCUCUAUCAGCAGGGAAGAAAUUGACGGUACCUGACUAAGAAGCCCCGGCUAACUACGUGCCAGCAGCCGCGGUAAUACGUAGGGGGCAAGCGUUAUCCGGAUUUACUGGGUGUAAAGGGAGCGUAGGUGGCAUAUCAAGUCAGAUGUGAAAGCCCGGGGCUCAACCCCGGAUUGGCAUUUGAAACUGGUAUGCUAGAGUGCAGGAGAGGUAAGUGGAAUUCCUAGUGUAGCGGUGAAAUGCGUAGAUAUUAGGAGGAACACCAGUGGCGAAGGCGGCUUACUGGACUGUAACUGACACUGAGGCUCGAAAAGCGUGGGGAGCAAACA
RNAcentral lists this ribosomal RNA (403 nucleotides) under uncultured Clostridium sp. RNAcentral describes it as "bacterial SSU rRNA". It matches the Rfam family "Bacterial small subunit ribosomal RNA", at positions 355 to 774 of the family's 1533-position model. Lineage: Bacteria; Bacillati; Bacillota; Clostridia; Eubacteriales; Clostridiaceae. The record is from RNAcentral.